This is a long non-coding RNA of Rattus norvegicus (Norway rat), 4505 nucleotides long. RefSeq lists it as uncharacterized. NCBI's taxonomy places the organism in Eukaryota, Metazoa, Chordata, Mammalia, Rodentia, Muridae. The record is from RefSeq and is a predicted model, not a curated record.
UUCUUUUUUUAAAAUCCUUUCUUUUUGGAACAUGAUUUCAUUAUGUUGCCCUGGCUGUCACUCAGAGAUCUUCCAACUCUGCCUCCCCAGUGCCACCAAGACUGGCCUUAGGAAUACCUUUUAUAGCCAAUGUGUUGGCUCACACCUUUAAUCACAACACUCUGGAAGCAGAAGCUAGGGAUCUCUGAAUUCAAGGCCAGUCUAGUGUUCAGAGCAAGUUCCAGGACUGCCAGGGCUACAGAGAAAGAAACCCUGUCUCACACAAACAAAACAAAAUAACAAAAAGAAGAAGAGGAGGAGGAGGAGGGGGGGGAGGAGGAAGAAGAGGAGGGGGAGGAGGAGGGGGAGGGGGAGGGGAGGAGGAGGAGGAGGAGGAGGAGGAGGAGGGAAGACCUUUUAUGCUCAGUAUAGUGGAGCAAGCCUAUAAUCCCAACAUUCAAGAAUACUCUGAUAGCUAAGCAUAGUGGUACAUGUCUUUAAUCCUAGUACAUGGAAGGAAUAAGCAGGGGGAUCUCUGUGAUAUUAAGGCCAGUCUGCUCUACACAUCAAGUUCCACACCAGGCAAGGCUACAUAAAUAAAUAAAUUUGAAAACCUCAUGUUUUAUUGAACUAAAAUAAGAAACUAUUAUAUUUGUAUUUCAACAUUUUGGAAUGACUAGAAAGUCUGGCAUUGGAAAUCAGACAUAAUUGAGAGUUUGUUUUUGUUUGGUUGGGGUUUUUUCCUAGGUCAUAGUUAUUUAAUUUCUAUUUGUUCUUUUACAGGGUAGAGAAAGAAACCUCCAGUUACAAUACUAAUUCUGUGGAUUACACAUUCCUUUUCUUUUUUCUUUUUUCAAGAUAGGGUUUCUCUGUGCAGCCCUCACUAUCCUGGAAUGUGCUGUGUAGAACAGGCUGGCCUCAAACUCACAAAAGAUCCAUGUGCCUGUGCCUGUGCCUAGGCCUCUGCUUCCUGAGUGCUGGGAUCAAAGGUGUGUACCACUAUAGCUGGCCACAUCAGAGUAUUCUUAUAUACCAAGUCUGGUAAUUAUACACUGGUUCUGAGGAUUGCAUGUCCUUACUUUAAUUAUUUACUUUUUGGCUUAAAGGUAUGGGCCACCAGGCUCUGAAGAGUGUCUCGUAUAAAUCUGGUUAGCCUCAAUCACUACCUAGAGGUUAGAGAGAUGGCUCAGUGCUGUAGAGUAUAUACUGCUCUUCCAGAAGACCCAAGUUCACUUCCCAGCAUGUACAUCAUGCAGUUCACAACCUUCUGUAAUUCCAGGGGAUUCAAUGUCCUCUUCUGAACUCUGUGGACAACUACACUCAUGUGCACAUGCAUACACAAAAUUAAAAAUAAAAAUAAAAUAUUCAAAACACUUCGCUAAGGGAGCUGGGGAUGAUGUCGAGCUCUUGAUCUUGCCUCUUCCGCUUAGCGCUGGGGCUACAGGGGUUUGUGCACACAACACCUUGGUGAGGCCUUGACACUUCAAAUCCAAUGGACCUCAUGGGGAAAUAAGACAGAAAAAGUCCCUUUAAAACAAAUCUAAUAAUAACUUCAAAAUCUAAUAGGAAGACAGAGUGAGAGCUUGUCUCAAAACACUAAAACCAAAAAACAAAAACCAGUUAACUUGACAAGAUCAACCCACUGUUAGCUCUUGGUUCUUCUUUCUUCCACUUUAAUACCAAACCAAACUCUUCUCGCCUCAGAGGGACAUUUGCUUUAUUUUAUGACUUGUCUGAUUCUAAAAUCAAUAAUAAAGCCAAUUAAGAUCAUUAAAGAAUAAAAUGAAAAAAAAAAUGGCUGUCUCUGGGUUUCCUAAAGAUAAACAAUGCUUUUACUGUUAAAAAAAAAAAAAAAAAAAAGAUCUUUUUCUUUUUCUAAAAUCAAGAAUGGCAAGAAAAUAUCAAAAAGGAUAUUAAAUUUUCAGCCUUUCCUGAAUAUCCUGUGUGACUACAUAAUAUUUUUUAAUUUAAUUUAUUCUAUAUAUGUGAGUACACUGUAGCUGUCUUCAGACACACCAGAAGAGGGCAUCAGAUCCCAUUACAGAUGGUUGUGAGCCACCAUGUGGUUUCUGGGAUUUGAACUCAGGACCUCUAGAAGAGCAGACAGUGCUCUUAACCACUGGGCCAUCUCUCAAGCCCACUACACAGUAUUUUUAGCCCUCAUUAUUAUGUACUUGCAGGUGUUAUAAAGACGAAGGACAAGGCCCCACUCUCGAUGAGCCUGUAAUCGCGUAGGUGAAAGAAAAUGUAAAUAAAAAUUGCUCUGAACACUGGCAAUUUGGUCCUGGAUUCAAUCCUCAGAACUGAAGAGAAGAGGGGGCACUAUAAAGUGGUAUAUAUACUGUGCAAUUGACACGUACACCACUUAAUAUAAAGUGGUAUAUGUACUGUGCAAUAGAAAAAUACUCAUCUUAAGACCAUUUGAGGAAUGGAAUGAAAGGAAAUAAUGUGCUAAAAAGAAGUCACUUGAUGAGCAAUAAAUAAGUAAAAAUAAAUCAACCUGUGGUGUGAUGGCAGUGGUGUCAGCGGCACACACUUCUAGUCCCAGCACUCAGGAGACAGAGGCAGGCGGAUCUUUGUAAGUUCGAGGCCAGCUUGGUCUAGCUAAACUCAAAAAAUUUAAAAAAAUGAAAAAUCGAUCUAACAUAUUAGUUCUGAGGCAUUUCCCAGUCCUGGCAGAGCUCCUUGGCUACCUGCUUGCACUGUCUCACUAGAAUUUUGAAAACACCCUGUUGCAGUUCCCAAGAUAUUACCACUAUUUGUAAUUAUUUUUUAAAUGGUACUUUUAAAAUUUUUUACCCAUUCUGAGUUUAUCUAAAAUUAAUAAGAGUAUAAUCUAGAGCCAAACACAAACAAACAAAAACACCAUUUCCAUUUCCACAAAAGAAAAGUCAAGGACUUUUUUAAAAAUCAGGUCUUGGGGCUGGAGAGAGCACUGGCUACUCUUUCAGAGGACCUGGGUUCAAUUCUGAGCACUGACAUGGCAGCUCACUGCUAUCCAUAAUCCAGUUCCAAGUGACUUGACACCCUCACACAGACAUAUAUGCAGGCAAAAACACCAAUGCAAAUAAAAUAAAAAUAAACCAUAAAAAAGGGUCUUUAAAAAAAAUUAAACGAAUGUUAGUUUGUCAAAAUAGACUGUCUUCCCAACCGAUUGCGCUAGCAAAUGUAGGCCUCUGAACAAAGGCAAGAGAGUGUGAAAUGGGUUAUUACCAACACGCCUCACCUUUUCCUCUUUCAUUUAUUUUAUCUUUUUAAGGUACAACCAGAUUAUGGCCAUAUUUAAGCACAACCUACGUUUGGAUAAGAGCAGUGCCAAGGAGAGCAAGAGCCCAACCCGUAGGGUUCUUAAUCUCAUCUAGUCCGUGUUUCCACAGCUGGAAUAUGGGGGUGGAAAGUUACAAGAGUGCUAGGCUUCUCCUUUACUGAAACCCCUCAAAUGAUAACGCAAGCUACUCCUUUUGGGGAAUUUAAGGUCACGAGCUUUAAAAAGGGACAAUGGAACUCCAAUGUGGGCUUCAGAAAGAUGGAGAUUGUCAGAUGAGGUGGGGGCAGGGAAAUGGGGACAAGGGGAAGAGCUUAGCCUGGGAAUUCAAAAUAGGGAGGUCAAGGCCAGGGACUUACGGAGCUAAAAGGGGGACAGAUCUUUCAGGAUCUGUCCAAGUAGGCCCGUCACAGCAGUCUGAAAGCCUGAAGGGCUCCUUUGAGAAUGUGGGGCACCUAUUUUACCAGCGUUACCUCCCCUCUGCUUGAGAACGGAGACAACCACCUAAGAAUCCUCCCCCAAUUGGCUUUCCUUGCCCUUGAAAACAACUGACCCUCAAGGAAAAGAAAAUGCAAAAGCGUCCUAAGAGUAGAAGGGCCUGGGGCAAGCUGUCCUGCAAUUAUCCAGUGGGGAGCCUAACCCAGUUCGAGGAACUUUAAUAUUCAUUGAAAUGGAGCGGCACGGAGCCCUCCCCCCACCCCCGGAAGUCUCCAGGCAAAGAAGCUCCAAGCCAGGGGUCCCACGGCUGCCGGGAUGGGCGGGCGACGGCCUGGGGCGCGGUCUCCGGCCCGGGGAGGCCAGCCCGCAGGCCUGAAAUACCAAAGUUAAGUAUCCCAGAAGGAUCUCAACAAACCGGAGUGCCACAGCUAGUCUCCCAGGACUGAAGCCGAGAAAGAACCAGAGGAAAGAAAUGCUUCAUGAAGCCAGCAAAUCAAGAUCUAGAGCUUGGAACUGGAGAGAAUGACUCAGAGUGCUUGCUGCUCUCUGAUAGACUUCGUUCCGAGCAACCACUCCAGACAGUUCUCACCAUGGAAAACUCCAGCUCCGGAAGAUCCAACACCCUCUUCUAACUUCUUCUUAUGCAGACAUAAACAUAAAUAAAACCUUAAGCUGGGUAGUAGUAGCCCACACCUUUGAUCCCAGCACUUGGAAGGCAGAACAGCCUGGUCUACAGGACAAGCUCCUGAACAGAUAGGCUACACAGGAAAACCCUGUCUCAAAAAGCCAAUGAACUAUAUAAAUAAAAUCUUAAAAAAUAAAA